AUUAUUUUGGCAGAAUAGUGCAAUAAAGUUAGAUUUUAUUAAAAUAAUUUAAUUUAUAAAUAAUA
RNAcentral lists this transfer RNA (65 nucleotides) under Tremex columba (pigeon tremex). RNAcentral's name for it is "tRNA-Leu". Lineage: Eukaryota; Metazoa; Arthropoda; Insecta; Hymenoptera; Siricidae. The record is from RNAcentral.